RNAcentral lists this ribosomal RNA (363 nucleotides) under uncultured bacterium. Its description in RNAcentral is "bacterial SSU rRNA". It matches the Rfam family "Bacterial small subunit ribosomal RNA", at positions 72 to 422 of the family's 1533-position model. The record is from RNAcentral.
AAGUGGAGCAAUCCAUGAGUAGAGUGGCGAACGGGUGAGUAACACGUGGGUGACCUACCUUCGAAUGGGGGAUAACGUCCCGAAAGGGACGCUAAUACCGCAUAACAUCCUGUCCUUGAACGGAUGGUGAUCAAAGCCGGGGAUCGCAAGACCUGGCGUUUGAAGGGGGGCCCGCGUCCGAUUAGCUAGUUGGUGAGGUAACGGCUCACCAAGGCGACGAUCGGUAACCGGCCUGAGAGGGCGGACGGUCACACUGGGACUGAGACACGGCCCAGACUCCUACGGGAGGCAGCAGUGGGGAAUUGUUCACAAUGGGCGCAAGCCUGAUGACGCAACGCCGCGUGGAGGAUGAAGGUCUUCGGA